This is a non-coding RNA of Podarcis lilfordi (Lilford's wall lizard), 74 nucleotides long. Lineage: Eukaryota; Metazoa; Chordata; Lepidosauria; Squamata; Lacertidae. The record is from the annotation of a GenBank genome assembly.
GUGUGGGAUAGCUCAGUCCAGAGAGCACAAGGUUCUUAAUCUCAGGGUCAUGGGUUUGAGCCCCAUGCUGGGCA